UUUAACUGAAGAGUUUGAUCAUGGCUCAGAUUGAACGCUGGCGGCAGGCUUAACACAUGCAAGUCGAGCGGGGGAAGGUAGCUUGCUACUGGACCUAGCGGCGGACGGGUGA
Molecule: ribosomal RNA, 112 nt
Filed under: Acinetobacter baumannii
Lineage: Bacteria; Pseudomonadati; Pseudomonadota; Gammaproteobacteria; Moraxellales; Moraxellaceae
Description: partial 16S ribosomal RNA
Rfam family: Bacterial small subunit ribosomal RNA
Source: RNAcentral